This 465-nucleotide ribosomal RNA is filed under the name Vreelandella stevensii. Its description in RNAcentral is "partial 16S ribosomal RNA". It matches the Rfam family "Bacterial small subunit ribosomal RNA", at positions 338 to 795 of the family's 1533-position model. The record is from RNAcentral. Lineage: Bacteria; Pseudomonadati; Pseudomonadota; Gammaproteobacteria; Oceanospirillales; Halomonadaceae.
CCUACGGGAGGCUGCAGUGGGGAAUAUUGGGCAAUGGGGGCAACCCUGAUCCAGCCAUGCCGCGUGUGUGAAGAAGGCCCUCGGGUUGUAAAGCACUUUCAGUGAGGAAGAACGCCUGGUGGUUAAUACCCAUCAGGAAAGACAUCACUCACAGAAGAAGCACCGGCUAACUCCGUGCCAGCAGCCGCGGUAAUACGGAGGGUGCGAGCGUUAAUCGGAAUUACUGGGCGUAAAGCGCGCGUAGGUGGCUUGAUAAGCCGGUUGUGAAAGCCCCGGGCUCAACCUGGGAACGGCAUCCGGAACUGUCAAGCUAGAGUGCAGGAGAGGAAGGUAGAAUUCCCGGUGUAGCGGUGAAAUGCGUAGAGAUCGGGAGGAAUACCAGUGGCGAAGGCGGCCUUCUGGACUGACACUGACACUGAGGUGCGAAAGCGUGGGUAGCAAACAGGAUUAGAUACCCUAGUAGUC